GGGACGGGGGGACGGGGACGGAGGGACAGGGGAAGGUGGGGCAGGGGCCGCUACUUGAGCAGCCUCCGCAUGGUGCCCAACGAAGGGCUCCUGUACUCCCGCCCGAAGUGGUUCCAGUGGUUCAGGUAGUUAAACAGCUGGUAGAGCAGCAGCCGCUGGUCGAAGCCCGGAGCCUUGGGGAUCUUCCGGUGGUAGGCGGUGAAGAAGGAUCUGGGGAACCCCCCAAACAUCAAGGCGAUUGCCAGUUCAAACUCGGAAUGGCCAUAGAAGGAAGCCGGGUCGUAAAUAAUGGGCCCCACGUCGUCCUCAGCCACGUUUCCCGACCAGAGAUCCCCGUGGAGCAACGCGGGGACAAUCUCUAGGCCACAAAACAGAUCCGGGA
This 382-nucleotide long non-coding RNA is filed under the name Pan troglodytes (chimpanzee). RNAcentral's name for it is "long non-coding RNA NONPTRT007387". The record is from RNAcentral. Lineage: Eukaryota; Metazoa; Chordata; Mammalia; Primates; Hominidae.